UUUCCAGACUCCUACGGGAGGCAGCAGUGAGGAAUAUUGGUCAAUGGCCGAGAGGCUGAACCAGCCAAGUCGCGUGAGGGAAGACGGCCCUACGGGUUGUAAACCUCUUUUGUCGGGGAGCAAAGCGAACCACGUGUGGUUCAUUGAGAGUACCCGAAGAAAAAGCAUCGGCUAACUCCGUGCCAGCAGCCGCGGUAAUACGGAGGAUGCGAGCGUUAUCCGGAUUUAUUGGGUUUAAAGGGUGCGUAGGCGGGACGGUAAGUCAGCGGUAAAAAUGCGGUGCUCAACGCCGUCGAGCCGUUGAAACUGGCGUUCUUGAGUGGGCGAGAAGUAUGCGGAAUGCGUGGUGUAGCGGUGAAAUGCAUAGAUAUCACGCAGAACUCCGAUUGCGAAGGCAGCAUACCGGCGCCCUACUGACGCUGAGGCACGAAAGCGUGGGUAUCGAACAGGAUUAGAUACCCCAGUA
This 466-nucleotide ribosomal RNA is filed under the name uncultured bacterium. RNAcentral describes it as "bacterial SSU rRNA". It matches the Rfam family "Bacterial small subunit ribosomal RNA", at positions 328 to 792 of the family's 1533-position model. The record is from RNAcentral.